Non-coding RNA from Chlorocebus sabaeus (green monkey), 8166 nucleotides. The record is from RefSeq and is a predicted model, not a curated record. Lineage: Eukaryota; Metazoa; Chordata; Mammalia; Primates; Cercopithecidae.
GAAGAGUGACAGAAAUGUCUCUAGAUGGGAUUCCGGACCUUCCGGAGGAGGCUUCUUUGAAGGCCACCUGGCGAUUGCAUGGAUUCUGAUUCUCCCCGUAGUGAUCUUGCCUUUCCAGGGAGUCCUACUCAUGAUGCUGAUGCACCCAAUUAGAGCCGGUAGUUAAGAUCCCUGGGAUUGUUCUGGGCCCUGGAAAAGAAUGGCAGCAGGAAGCGUUCUUGGAGGGAACAGCAUUUGAACAGUGACCUGACAGAGGUGUGAAUGCUGGUCAUUGGAGGGUCCGGAGGAAGAACAUUCCACGAGGGGAAAACUGAAAAUGCAAAGGUCGUGAGGUGGAAACAUGCCUGGAGUGUUGGGAGAAUUUCAAGGGGGCCAGUGUGGCUGGAAUGGAGUAAAACAAAGGCUCGCAUGCCAGGAACAGCAUGACUUCAGCCCUGUGGAAAUACAGUAAGUGUACAGAAAAAAAAUUCUGAGGAGAGAUAGCAAGAUUAUGACACUAUAGGUCAUCUUGAUUUCCUUUCUUUUGAUUGCCUACAAUAUUCUGAAUUUUCUGCCACGUGUGUAUUACUUUAGAAAGAUAAAAAUAACGAACGUCUUUAUACAAAAGUUUCUGUGGAGCUCAAUACCUUUGCCUUGGAUGCUCUGAUUGGUUGCUGGGUGUUUAGAUAGCCACUCUGACUGUGCCUCAUUCCAGGAACAGGGGAGAACCCCCAGCUGGGAAAGUCAGAGGGAGGUGCUUAUCCAGAUGCUCUCAGGUAAACACAGUUUACUCUCAGGUAAACACACACUGAUUUACAGUUAGCGGUGAAGGUGCUAAUGUAUCCUCUCAAUGAUAUCUCCCACUAUCAGCUAUCAAUACUUGUUAGCAGAAUCCAAUAACGACUUAAUUGGCAACAGAGAUCUGAACAGAUGUCUCACCUAAUAAAAAGCUUUUGUGACCAGCAAGCUGACCCCUUUUGGGCUUAGCUGGGCUUUGGUACUUUGUGUAUGACCCCUUUUGGCAGUUGUCAUUAAUCAGACAAACUGGCUGAUUGUUGAUUGCUGUGUGUACCAAGUCUACGAGUCAAACCUGGACCCAUGGAGUGUACUUAGACCAGGUUCCCUGAACUCUGACCUCUGACUUGUCUUCUGUCAUCUCAUUUAAUACACACACAGGCUAGACUCAAGGGCUUUAUUGGCGUCAAUUGUAAAUAGCUAUUGUAGCUAGAUUCUUCACCCACCCAUUCACCCUGUGAAUCCCUGGUGGAUUACUAUGGACCCUUCAUCACACAGAUUUAAGUAAGUAAAGAGGUUGUUACUGGUGCUUAUCUCUCUCCUUAACAAAGAGGAUCUGUGUGUGGUGUGAAGUGAACUGGCCUGAGGAUCCAUCCACUGGUAGAAAUGACCCCGAAGACUUCCUGUGCAGGGAGGGCAAAGAAAAAAGUGCUUUGGGAUAGAGAGAUCCCUUUUCCUCCUCCUGAAUGUGUUAGGUAAGGUCAAGAGAAUGGUUAUUAGAUUGCAAAGGCAUUUUAUCUUCCAAACUUCUGCUUGAAUCAAUUAUGUUGGUGAGUAGAAUAUGCUAUUGUUAAGAGAAUAGUCUCUUUACGGAGGCUUAAACAACCAAAUAACACAAUUAAUGUUCAUGAUAUUAAGAAUAAAUGCCCAGAGACAGCAUUCAGAACACAAGUAGAGCAUUUCCUUGCGAAUGAAGAUGUUGAAAGGUUUGUAUUCUGUAAUCCUAAUUUCAAAGUUCACAAGUAGUCAAUAAAAAAGGAAAAGAUAGUUGCGUGAUCAAAUACAUUUGGGCCUUGUUAGGUUUGACAAAGUGAGCCAGGUUGUUUUACUGCAGAAACCUUAUCAGAACCUUUCAUGUAUAAGAUAAUUAAUGGAAGUGUUAUUUUGACUUAACCCUUCUUACAAAAUAGUGGUGUUAGGUAGAAUACAGGCCAAUCUUUAUACAGAAGCUGACAUGCAUCUUUUUUUUCUAAUUUUUUGUAUUUAGUGGUUCACAAAUUUCUGAUUAAAGGGAAUAAGUUGAAUUUUUUUCAGGCUUCCCGUUAGUCUCACCAGUAAUAAGCAUAGUUUUCUGAAUCAGUGAAGAGAUGAAUUCAUGGACGAAAUGGAACGGAGAAGUGGAUCAGCAAAAUGUUCUCAAGAGUCUUGUUGCUUCCUCUCUGGCUCUAUUUUUGUUAUUGUAUGAUUCUGGGCCAUUUCCUGUUAUUAUUACACUUAUUGUUGUCAGAGGAAACCAAUUCGUUUUAAUAUUAGCCUGAGCAAAACAUAAUUAGGAAGAGAAUCUGCUACCAAAAAGGAAACACGUAUGUGCGACUUUGCAUUCCAAAGCCCAGUACUCAGAUAAACACGCACACGCGUGCACACACACGCACAGGCAGGCACACAUACGCACACAUGGGCACACACACAGAGGAGCCCUCUCUAUACAAUCUCAAAACAUCCUGCCAAGCCAAUAAAAAACAGUCUUAGCCACUCCAAGGAAAAACAGCCUGAAAACCAGAUGAUUUACCAAGCGUUACACGCUUCCUAUUUUUAUUUUGGAAGAGGAAAGAGAAGAGGUGAUAGAGAAGGGGCGAAAAAAGAAGGGGAUUGGCAAGGGAACAGCUUGGAGGUUGAAGGCUGAACUUCUGGCCUUCCCUUCUUAGAUCUUUCAGUACUCCAGGCUCACUACUGACAUUUGUCUCCUGUGAGCUGAAACCUCUGGGUACUUGAAAGUCCAUCAUAUCCAUUCAUGUGCUAAGACUUCCUUCUUUCUCCCUUCUCUCCCUCUUUUUGCCCUCCCUUCCUAACAAAAGGAUUUUCUCUUAACUGAGUGUACAGUUCACCCCCUUGGAAGGAUCACCAUUUCCUGGACAGAUGCAAGAGUUGGGAAAGGGUCUGGAGAAGAAGCGGAGGAGGGAGAGGGAACCAGCAGGCGAGGAAUGCCAAUUCUACCAGGCUCUGUUAGGUCCUUUCAUGGUUUAUUUUAUUUAAUACACACAAUCAUAGUCUAAGAUAGGCAUUGUUAUCAUCCCAUUCUACAGAUGAGGAAAUUGGGCUUACAGAGGCUAAGAAAUUGCACAAGGUUACAAGGUUAGGAAGUAUUGGAGGCAGGAUUUAAAUACAGACAAGUUUACUAACUUCAAAGCCAAUACUUUUACCCACAAUCCUAAUGUACUUCAUUUAACUUCUUCAGGCUUCAGGGUUCCUAUUUAUGAAAUAGAGACUAUCCCUAUUUUCACUCUUAUCCCUCCAAUAUUGUUCCCUACACAGUAGACAGAAAGAUAGCAGCCAUUUGAACUGGGCUUAGCUUCCAGAGGCAUGCGAUAAAAUUAAUGUCUGCAGUCAGCCUGCGUGUGCUGGUAUGGAUCUACUCCACAAAAUCCUCAGGGACCUAAGCUUCUUCCAACUCCGCACUGUCCCAUCCAGAGGGGUGACCCUUGUCUUCAUAGUCCAAUAUAGCAGCUGGAGCUCCAACCAUCACAUCUGCAUUCUAGGCAGAGGAUGAAGAACAAAGUAAAGAAGAAAAAGGUCAAAACCACCUGUCUUUUAAGCGUGACUUUUGAAUUACCCCAUCACACUUCCACUCAUGGUCCAUUGGCCAGACUUAGUGUUAUGGCUAUACCUGCCUGCAGGAAAGACUGGGAAAUAUAGUCUUUAUUCUGUGAUGCCAUGCAUCCAGCUAAAAUUGUGGGUUUUCUAUCAUGCAAGAAGGAAGGAAUGACUACUAGGGAUAGUGCACAGUGUCUGCAAGAGGAACGCUUUCAAAAUGUAAGUUAGAUCAUGUUACUCUGCUGAAAACUGGGUAAAGUCUUCCCACUCGCUCAGGCUGAAAGCCAACAUCUUUGCAGUGUCCAAUAAGGCCUUCCAUGCCUUGUUCUCAAGACUCAUUGCUUCCUCUCUGGCUGGGCCCUUCUUCUCAUCUGGACCCUUCGUUCCUUAAGUCUCUGCUCAAACAUCACUUCAUCGGGACCACCCUCCAGAAAACAGUAUCCACUUCCCUAUGACUCUCUGUACCCUUUACCUGGCUUUGUUUUUGUUUUCUGCUUUUAUCCGCACCUUAUCCCACCUGACAUAGUCUAUAUUUGUUCAAUUUGCUUAUUGUCUAUUUUCCUACUAGAAUAUAAGCUCAAUGAGAUCUACGACCUCAUCUGUUUUUUUCACUGCUCUAUAUUUCAGGGCCUAGAACAGUGGCAGGCACACCGUAGACAUCCAAUAGACAAGAGUUGAAUAGAUGAAUGAUUGAAUAAAUUCUUGCUUUCUCCAGCUUCCAAAAUUUGAGAGAGGAUGAAUGGAAGUUUCCAAUCUCAAAGAGCCUUGAAAAUAGGAGGAGUCAAAUAUAAAUUAUUAUUAGCUGUCCUUUGAUGUCCUCCCAUUUGUAAAUGUGCUCUGUUAACUGUGAAGAAUAAUGCAAAUGUGAUUGGCCAUCAUUGUUUUGAAGUAAGGCUCAGUGGGAUAGAAUUUUCAGUCAUUUCUUCCCAAAGGACCAGAACUAUUCAUUUUAAAUCCAUUUCUUCCCUGCCUUCAGUUUUGAAUGAAGAUGGCUUUGCUGCUCAUAGUUUCCUAAUAUAUCACUUUGAUGGUUUAUUUCACCUUAAGUAGCAUGGAAUUGAAGUCUGAGACUGUAUCAGGCUGAUUUCAGGUCUCUUUUGCUUCCCUUUGUGACAUCGCAGUAGGGGAGAAUUGUCAAGCUGUGCCUGGCCAAGUUAAAUGAGGAGACCAGAUGGUCAGAAAGAAAGGAAUUUUGGUCCAGGUUUAGGAGGAGAAAAGCUGGAGGCAAAACUCCUGCAUAGUUUUUGACCUGGAGAUCACAACACUGAGCACUGGGGGUACGUUGUUGAAUGCUGGGGCACCCCAGCAGAGAUUUGCAAUGCAGGAGUUCCUUUUGGUGGUACUCUCCUAGGACUUUCUGCCAAAACUUCAAAAUGAUUUUGCUGUGCUAGAGUUUUGGUUAUAUGGGACUUUUAGUUUUCAGAGACAGAGAGCAUUGAUUUAUGUUAAACACAACAAAAAGGAAAAAAAAAACGGGAGGUAAAGAAGUCACUUUUGGCUUUUGCUUUUAGCAGGCAAUUUUAAGAAAAAAGAAAACAAAAUCCAAAACGGGGGGAAGAAAGGAUGGAAGGAAACAAAGCAGCGCUAUAGAAGGUGAUUUUUAAUAUCUCUAUCCCCCAACACAGAGAAGGCAGCUGGUGCAGAAACCCAGAAGCUGUUCCAAGUUGCAUUACGAAGUGGCAUCGUGAGCUUUCUGGCACUGAGACAGGGUGAGGAGGCAAGAGAUAGAAAGUCAGGCAGGAGAAGGUGGCAAGGGUCCAGGCAGGAAGCAGUCUGAGUGUGAACAAGUGUCUUCGUGGUAGGGACAGAUGGAAAAAAAGACCUUAGAAAAAAUACUGCUGAGAAAGGAAGAGCCUGACUUCUUAAUGUCCUCUGAUAAAGCAUUUCAUCGCAGCUGGUGUUCAGCAGUCCUGGUUUUUAAUAUGCUGACUGCUGUGCUUGAUAUCAAAUGGCAAGGCUUCUGCUCUGUGGCCUCAAAGCUUAAAUGUUACCCCAAAAGAAUAAACAUACAACACUGUUCUAGGAGUACCAGAAUGCCAGGGUUGCCAGGGUUGACUGAGCUUGUCCAGGUUUUAUUCUGAUUGUCUCUAGCAUGCCUUGGUGACCUAAUAGCAAUGUGGCGUGUCUAUAGCUGAGACGAUAAGCCACUUUCACAUCACCUUCCUCAUUUAAACAUUCUAACCACCCUCUGGCAGGAAAGUGGAGUGAAUUAUGGUCACCAUUACAAAGAUGAGAGGACUGAGGCUCACUGAGGUUGGAUGGCUUGCCCUCAUUUGUAAAAGUGAGAUUAGUAUCUGGUUUUCUGUCUCCUAAUGUUUGCCUUUUCUUCGAGUUAUUUACCAGAGUUAGUUAUCAAUGCUGACUGAGUGUGCACUCUCCUAGACACCGGGGAGAAGCAGAAGAGGAAACCAGAUAUGAUCCUUCUCCUUGGGAUUCUCCUGACCUAAGAAAAAAGACAGAUGAAUGCAGAUAACUGAGUCUAUAUACAGAGACUACCACAAGUUCACACUUUACUGAAUGUUCAAACAUAGUCAUGCACCCUAAGGGCAUUGUUGGAAGCUUCUGGAACUAAGUCUCUGGGGAUUUGAAUCAACUCAGAAGACUGACUCAUUCACUUGGCUGUGGAGGCUAUUCCAGAUAUUAGGAGCUAUGUAUGUGGGGCCCUGGAUUUGGGCCAAAAGAUGCAUUUGACUGGAGAGAAGGGAUUGAGAUUUGAGCAGUUGUUGGACAACAUAGAAAUGAAACAGCCAUAGCAAACUUGCCUGCCGUGAUUUCUCUGCUGAGAUAAUGGAACUUUUCAGACUCCCUGUAACUGGGAUCUAGAUAAAAAGAGAUGUCUGGAAAAAACUGGUCCCAAUUGUCGCUUGGCUUUGCUUUCAUAGCUAUCUGAAUGUGGCAUAUGUCAGACUUUGAAAUGCUGGGUCUCUUGGAAAUACAAAUACCAUCUGGUUCUGGAUAAUUCCCAGAAACCUAGGCUACUCAGUAGGAAAUGAGGAGCUGGAAACAUAAUACUGAGACCAGGGGCUUGUUCUUGGGCCACCCUGUCUCGUGUCCUGGUCAUAGUCACAUUACUCAUACAGAAAAUGUCAAUGGGAAGACACCACAGGGUUCAUCUUUUCAUGACACAGUGACCUCUGUUUUGGACAUCCUGAUUUCUCUUUGAGAAGCCAUCCCUCCCCUAGUGUUUAUAGUCUAGCAGCCAAGUCCCCCUUGCCUUGGCCAAGGGCAGCCUGAAACUCAAACAGGGCCCAUCCCUUAUCCCUAGAUGGAAAUCUUGAGCAGAGUGCCUGACAGGACUGAAGAUGGCUGCAGUUCUAUCAAGCAGACAGUGGUUCUCUGAAGAGGCUCCCCUCUGCCCACACCCAUGAGUGUCUGCUCCCCAGACGCUCCAAUCCUACUUCUCCAGCUUUACCUUCUGUUCCGUGAGCUGCUUCCUUUUCUUUCUCCAAAUCCCUCUUUUGCUGGUUGGACGAAGAUUGUUUCUGUUGCCUGCAAUCAAAGAACCCAAAAGGAUGAACAGGCGAAAUCAUAAACAUACUUUUAAGUGCUUGGGAUAUGCCUGCUUCUGUCCAUCUUUCAACCCACUUGCAUCAGAUGCCCCCUUAGAGGAUGAGAGCCUGUCCUGUGAACCAUGGUGGUUCAGAGUGGAACAGAGCAGAGUGUGGAACACCAGGAGUUACAGCAAUCAGUGAAAUAUGAUGUAAGCCUCUAUUUCAGAAAUUAUAUAUAAUAAUCAACUGAUUAUUAGUAAUCAAUAAUAGCCUUCCCGUUUUAUAUCAAGCACAGCACUCAGCAUAUUAAAAACAAGGACUGUUGGACACCAGCUGCGAUGAAAUGCUUUAUCAGAGGACGGCCCUUGAUGUCUACGUCCAUUUGCAAGUAUGGCAUUAGUUACAAGGCUGAUUUAAGUAUAAUCAGUAAGUUUAUAUGCUGGAUGCUCAAGAUGAUUUCUGGCUAAACAUGGAAUUUCUAUUUCUAUUUUCCUUAUGUUAAAAGUCAGAACAGUAAAAUGUAUUCCUAAUGUCACUAUUAUGACAUUUACAUCCCGAAAGUUGCAGUAAAUGAUCAAUACAAUAGUGGAAUGCCUAGAAACCUGUUCCUUUUUUGCUAGAAAAAAAAAGGAGGGCACUUUUUAUGUCUUUGAUGUGAAGUUCAUGUUCUUUGACAGUGACUGAUGGAACAUGCUACAGAAAAGGCUGAUUACAUUUUACUAGAGAAGUGAAAAAGAAAUGCAGGAGAAUCUCACAGCUCUGGGAUUGAAUGGAAAGCAAAGGAGGAGCUCUUCUAGGGGGCUAUCUGAUGCCUCUGUAUAGCUACUGAAUCUCUGGGGCCAUGGAUGGCAAUUUAGUUCAUCAGUAGGUCAGCGUUCAAGAGUAUGGGCUGGGUGCAGAGUAAGCAACCUGCUGAGAGUAAUGGCCACGGCUUUACUUCUGUCUUCAAAAUCCUGAACAAGCUCCCCUUUUGGCCAACUCUAACCUGGAACCAUGCAGAUUAGGAAGAGAAAGAGAAGGGGAUUCUGAGAAAGAUUUUAGCAUGGUCAAGUUGAUAACGGAAUGAUUCAGAACAAUGAAACCCUUAUCAACUAGGUAUAUCUCUUUUUUUCUAUAUUUAUUGUCCAAAGAAAGCAAAAUCAUGCUUUCA